AGGAUAAACGCUGGCGGCGUGCCUAACACAUGCAAGUCGAACGCGCUUUCGGGCUUCGGUGCGAGAGCGAGUGGCGGACGGGUGAGUAACACAUGGGUACCUACCUUGGAGUGAGGGAUACCGGCGAGAAAUCGCCGACAAUACCGCAUAGGCUUCUUCACAAGGGAAGCAAAGUGACGCGAGUCACGCUUUGAGAUGGGCCUGUGGCCGAUUAGCUAGUUGGGGGGUAACGGCUUCCCAAGGCGACGAUCGGUAGCUGGUCUGAGAGGACGAUCAGCCACACUGGGAUUGAGAACGGCCCAGACUCCUACGGGGGCAGCAGUGAGGAAUUUUCCGCAAUGGAGGCAACUCUGACGGAGCAACGCCGCGUGCAGGAGGAAGGUUUUCGGAUCGUAAACUGACUUUUCGUCGGGGUACGAGCAAGGACGGUACCCGAGGAAGAAGCCCGGCUAACUACGCGCCAGCAGCCGC
This 471-nucleotide ribosomal RNA is filed under the name uncultured bacterium. Its description in RNAcentral is "SSU rRNA". It matches the Rfam family "Bacterial small subunit ribosomal RNA", at positions 26 to 518 of the family's 1533-position model. The record is from RNAcentral.